This 1371-nucleotide long non-coding RNA is filed under the name Citrus sinensis (sweet orange). RNAcentral describes it as "long non-coding RNA (CSIN_LNC000432)". Lineage: Eukaryota; Viridiplantae; Streptophyta; Magnoliopsida; Sapindales; Rutaceae. The record is from RNAcentral.
CAUCAUGUGUCUGUCCUUGUACAGAGUUCAAGGAAACACACAUUGGUUUGGGCCUUGCCACGAGCACCUUCCUCAGUUAAACACUGCUUGCCUAGAGCCUACUGGUAAGAGCAUUUUUAAAAUUCUUUAUAAAUUUUAUUCUUUAAAUAUUUAUUUAUGUAGUAAAUAAAAAAAUAAAAAAUAAUAUUUUUUAAAUUUUAAAUAAAAAUAAAUUAAUAUUAUUUUAAUUAAAUAAUUACUGCUGUACCGUACAUCCGCCUUGGCCGUACAGCAGGCGAAUCUUUUACAAGAUCAAUUCGGAUUGGCCCUGGUUCGGUUAGAAAAUGUGAUUAGAGGAACUAUAUGUGGAGCAAUUAGGCAUAAAUUGAUGCCCCAGUUAGCCUCUAAGAGUAUCUUCAAAAUGCUCUAUUAAUUUUACUCUUCAAAUAUCUAUUUACUUACAUAUGUGGCAAAUAAAAGAGUGAAAAAAUAUAUUAUUCUCAAAAAGACUCUUCAAAUAGAAAUAAAUUAAUAUUAUUUUAAUUAAAUAAUUAUUUUUUAAGUAAAAAUCAAUAACAAUUAAAACACUUCUCUCUAUUUCUUUAUUGAAAAAUAAUAAAAUAUAAAUUGAAGAGAAAAAAAUUAACUCUCUAAAUUUAAAGAGAAAAAAUCAAUUUUUAUUUAAAAAAUCUUAAUUGAAAUGUCUUUUUAAACUUUAAAUAUUGAUAUACCUCUUCAAAUAAAUAAUAAAAUCUUAUUUAAAAAUUUUUUUGGUGAAGCUCUAACCUGGGAGGGUUUGGACAUUUUUUCCCUUUUUUUUUUUGCCAUUUUUGACCGUUACUUAUCAGUUGAGGGACUAAUUAAGAAAUGUUUAAUUAUGUAUGUACAGCAUUGGUAUUCAUAUAUUUAUUUUAUUUCUGCUAACGACAAACCAAAAGUUUAUUCUUCCUAAAUUCGACAUCGACGGCAAGUUAGAGACACUUAUUCAUGGAAAUCACAUGAAUAUAUAUAUACACACAUAUACGUAUAUCAACUGAAAUUUGAGGAUGUCCGAUGGCUGGCUUAAAUCAUGAGUUACGACUGAAAUUGUACCUCCAUUAAGAACGCCGCCCUCUUCAGGAUAAGUUAAUCAGUGUACAUACAAAUGAAACAAAAUUGUACAUUUUCAAUUUGUUUACGAAUUAGUGUUUGCCUAAUCAAUGACUAUCUAAAGCACUAAUCUUCAAAUUUUCGUCAUAAUCAGAAGAAGUAUGAGUAUCAGUAUAAGUAUCGGAGAAAGGAACUUUUGUCGACGGUGGGGAGUAGUGGGGAUAAAAAAUCUUCCUCAGCUGAUUGUACCUCUCCCCGUCAAAAUCGUGAAGUUUCAUCAGCUUCUUCUGCUUGGUGCUAAAC